UAUUGAUGCAACUCCUGGCCCUACACAACCACCCCAACCAUCCCAUCCCACCCCGUGCAUCCCUGAGGGCAUUGUCCAAAUAUUCCUGGAGGCACAGCUGAAAGUCUUGGUGAAAGAGGUAUCUUGCUGCGGGGACACUGUGGAUCUUGAAAACAGGACAGGCCUGGAGAAGGCCACUUCUACAAAUGAAGAGAAAGCCACUUCUACUCAGC
Molecule: non-coding RNA, 212 nt
Organism: Cyanistes caeruleus (blue tit)
Lineage: Eukaryota; Metazoa; Chordata; Aves; Passeriformes; Paridae
Source: RefSeq, a predicted model, not a curated record